CAAGAUUAGAAUACGUUUUGGAUUCCUACGACAGCUAGAGUAAUUUGUUUUAACCACAGACUGUAAAAGAUUUUAAACAGACUGUAAAGUAUUUUAUAUAUUUUUUCCUGAAAUCGAUGAAAUGGGAGUGGAUCAACUUGCAAACAUUUUCCUUCCACAGAAGAAAGAAACUAUUAGUGAUGAUGUUGACUUGCAUCAUGAAUCACCAAGGAGCUAAAAAGUCACUUACAUCUCGAAUGACCUGCAGCAAGAAAAAGAAGCAAAAGAGUUGAAGCAGGCUGUCCAGCCUGUUCAGAUGGAUGUGCAAGAUCACCAGGGCACAAAGAUCAAUAUCGAAAAGAUAUGGGCAUCAUCUAUGCUGGAGCCGAGUGACCUCAAAGUCCAAUGCCUCUGUGGGGUUGUUCAGCUGAGAGGGCCGAGAAGUGGAAAUCACAUUCUACAGGCAACGCCAGAGCACAUGAAUUAUUCUGAUCAUUUUAGGGGCAGCAAAAUGAAUGCUGAGGGUGAAAUGAAAUGUAGAGAAGCGGAUGAGAUGCGGCAGACCCCAUGAUCUUUCAUUUCUUCACAUUCGGACCCUUCCAUCCCCCUCCUCAGAGUAAACAUAAAGUCAUAGACUUGGUAGAUGGAGGCAUAUUCACGAAUCUGGAUUUGACAACGGCUUCACGUUUCCGCCGAUAAUCCACCAUCUGAUGACAAAGCAAUAGCUGUGCCUUUUGGAGGCAGGUAAGCGCUAAGCUGUGGGAAAAUAGGAAUUUGGGCUAAAAAUUUAAUGCCGUCUGUGCUUUCUCGAAUUGGCUUGUGAUGGUGGACAUUGUGGGGCCAAUAAAUGCUUUCCCCUCCACCGGUGUGCUGCAUUUUCCGGCCCAUUGGAGAGAGAUGUUAGCACCUCAGAUUUGCCUUGUUUUGAAGCGAACCUUCAUGUCCUCUCUAGCAGGGAACAGCGUUUGGCUAAUGUGGCUGCAAAGGUUCAGGAGUUCACAAGAAAAGCGCUGCGACUUCCUCCGCACAUACAAUAUACUGGGGGUGUCCUUACAGAUUUAGAUCCUCUGUGCAUGGCUUCACAUUCGCUACAAACAUGAAAAACCAGACAUGAAGCCCAGUGGGAGAUUGUUACUCGGUGCCUUACAGGUUCAAUAUUUCAAGCUCUAAUGAAUUUUCGCUGGCCUUCCUGACAUCAGCUGUCUUCCAGACCACUCACUCUUCAACGCGCGCUGUUGUUCUGAUGGGCAGACAGUGAUUACCAAAUACCUGUCAUGUACUCAGAUAAGCAGGGUGAAAGGACAGAAAAAGUGAAGGCCUUGUGAUGUGACUAAUGCUACACUUUGGUGUGGUAUUCAGACUUUUAGCUCCCAUUUAGGGCUGGUAUUAGGAUGCUUUUAUGUCAAUCAGAUCGCAAGUGGACGACGCUGAGCAUAGGUGUAAAAUGGAUAUACAGUAUGACGUUUUGAGCUUGUCCAUUUUCAAACACUUACAGAGAUAGUUGGAAACACUUUUCGACUGGAUCGCAUUUGUUGAGUAAACACUCAUGUGGCCGAAUGUGUUUCAACAACUGUGAAACAGCUAAAACUUUCUUGCCUACUAACUGAACAUGCAAUAUUAUGGGGUGUAUUAUGAGAAAGUGCACCAAAACAAUCCCCUACUUUAUUUCCUUCAGCUUAUUCCCUGUUUAUGAGGGGUCGCUACAGUGGAAUGAACAGCCACUCUGGCAAUUAUUUUACACAGUUCAUGCCCUUUCAGCCAUAACCUAACAUUCAGAGAGGGAAACACCUACACACUUACCCAUUCACACACUUCAGCCAAUUAAGUUUAUCCAAUUCACCUAUACUGCAUGUCUUUAGACCGUUGGGAAGCCCACACAGACCUGAUCUACAGUAGAUGGGACUUGAGCCAACAACCUUCUUGUUGUGAGGCAACCAUGCCAGCCACUUAGCCACCAUGCUGCCCUGCACCAAGACAAGGUAUGCAUAAUUUGCCAUUGUAACAACCCACAUGCAUUAUGUUAGAAAUGAUUUCUGCCAUCUGAAUAUUUUUAUUUCCUUGCUUUCUCGCCCACUAGUAAGUCAAGUCACCAUUUUUAACUUACCUGUGAGCAUCCAUAGCUAUAGAUUGUGUCAAAGCAGCUUUAAAGAAGCAAUAUCAGAAAGGUCACGAAGUUUCAGUUUGAGUCUGUUCAAUGAUGAUUCAGUUCAGUUCAGUAUGAAUCUCAUUGCUAAAGGAUGUGAUGGCCUGUAAGGAAGCUCUACUGACCCCAGAAGGGCCUAAGGACCCAACUGCCAUGAGAUGGUGGAAAAAAGACCUUGGGAGAAGCAGUUCUUAGUCUGAGAAUGAGUUCUCCUAUGUCCAAUGAAGAAGCAGAGCUGCAGUAAAUAACUGGCCGAUCAGUGGCCUUGUGCACUUCAGUGUGUUUCUGGGUAUUGACUUUGUUCAUUCAGGUGACUUUCUGUAGCACACGUGCAUUACACUGAAGCCUCACGUGAACAGUAUUGACACAAUAUGAACUAAAUUAGACAGACAAGAGAGAAAACCAAUUAAAAGCAGGAAAACACGCGUGAAAUGCACAAAUAAUUUUUUUUCCACUGAGCAAAACAACUAUUAUUAAUAUUAUUGAAAGUCUUAAAAUGUCUUACAUUUCAAAAACAUUAUUGUAGGCCUUAAAAAGUCUUAAAUUAACUUAAAUAUCAUCUUGUAGAUCUUAUAAAUUUUUAAAUGGGUUAUGUAAAGCUACCCAAUCAAUUCAACAUGCAUACGAUCACCACCAACAAUACAUGUACAUUUUGACACAACUUUAAGCAAAACUCUAUUUUAACUAACAAUAUAACAGUACCUUGUACAUACAUUUAGUUUUUUAAAGAUUUAAAGAGUUUUUUAUGUUAUGUUGAAAAAAAUUCAUCUAUAGAACUAGGGUUUGCUUGAUUUGACACGUUACUUAAAAUAUGUGGCUAAUUUUUAAAAAAUGUAUAGCAUUUAGCCUUAUAUAAGUCUGAAAUUUCAUUCUUCACAGUCUUAAUAAUGUAUUAAAAGGUCUUUAAAUUUGACUUGAACCAUUAUUGUGAAUGAUUGAAAAUUGUCAUUACCGUACAUCUGGUCAUUGACAUUUAAAAAUCUCAUACAAUUUUAGGUCAAAUUUGGAUAAAAUAUGUUAUAGGGUGCUUUCAUAUUUUGCCAAAUUUGAGUAGAAACAGCACAUUUACUGAGUACCUGUUAAACCUGUAAAAACAAAUAUCUAAUCUGCCAGUCAGGUGGCAGCAUUGAGGUAUGUU
RNAcentral lists this long non-coding RNA (3260 nucleotides) under Danio rerio (zebrafish). RNAcentral describes it as "lncRNA si:dkey-151m6.6 (ENSDARG00000097810.2)". Lineage: Eukaryota; Metazoa; Chordata; Actinopteri; Cypriniformes; Danionidae. The record is from RNAcentral.